RNAcentral lists this transfer RNA (85 nucleotides) under Rhodospirillaceae bacterium. Its description in RNAcentral is "tRNA-Leu". It matches the Rfam family "tRNA". From Rfam's summary of the family: Transfer RNA (tRNA) molecules are approximately 80 nucleotides in length. Their secondary structure includes four short double-helical elements and three loops (D, anti-codon, and T loops). Further hydrogen bonds mediate the characteristic L-shaped molecular structure. tRNAs have two regions of fundamental functional importance: the anti-codon, which is responsible for specific mRNA codon recognition, and the 3' end, to which the tRNAs corresponding amino acid is attached (by aminoacyl-tRNA synthetases). tRNAs cope with the degeneracy of the genetic code in two manners: having more than one tRNA (with a specific anti-codon) for a particular amino acid; and 'wobble' base-pairing, i.e. permitting non-standard base-pairing at the 3rd anti-codon position. The record is from RNAcentral. RNAcentral also lists the same sequence under 8 other names. Lineage: Bacteria; Pseudomonadati; Pseudomonadota; Alphaproteobacteria; Rhodospirillales; Rhodospirillaceae.
GCGGAUGUGGCGGAAUUGGUAGACGCGCUAUCUUGAGGGGGUAGUAACUUAGGUUGUGGGGGUUCAAGUCCCCCCAUCCGCACCA